GAGCGUGUAGUGUAAUGGUAGCAGUAUCACCCUGUCACGGUGAAGGAGGGGUUCGAGUCCCACACGUUCG
RNAcentral lists this transfer RNA (70 nucleotides) under Caudoviricetes sp. RNAcentral describes it as "tRNA-Asp". It matches the Rfam family "tRNA". From Rfam's summary of the family: Transfer RNA (tRNA) molecules are approximately 80 nucleotides in length. Lineage: Duplodnaviria; Heunggongvirae; Uroviricota; Caudoviricetes. The record is from RNAcentral.